UGGAAAGCUGUCACAGAACCUAAGUCCGU
RNAcentral lists this non-coding RNA (29 nucleotides) under Mus musculus (house mouse). Lineage: Eukaryota; Metazoa; Chordata; Mammalia; Rodentia; Muridae. The record is from RNAcentral.